CUGCAUGGCUGUCGUCAGCUCGUGCUGUGAAGUGUGGGUUAAGUCCCGCAACGAGCGCAACCCUACUCAUCUGUUGCCAGCAUUUAAGGUGGGGACUCAGAUGAGACUGCCGGUGACAAACCGGAGGAAGGUGGGGACGACGUCAAGUCACCAUGGCCCUUAUGUCCUGGGCUACACACGUGCUACAAUGGCCGGUACAGAGUGAAGCGAAACCGCGAGGUGAAGCAAAACGCAGAAAGCCGGUCUCAGUACGGAUUGGAGUCUGAAACUCGACUUCAUGAAGUUGGAAUCGCUAGUAAUCGCGCAUCAGCAUGGCGCGGUGAAUACGUUCCCGGGCCUU
RNAcentral lists this ribosomal RNA (340 nucleotides) under uncultured Spirochaeta sp. Its description in RNAcentral is "bacterial SSU rRNA". It matches the Rfam family "Bacterial small subunit ribosomal RNA", at positions 1041 to 1382 of the family's 1533-position model. Lineage: Bacteria; Pseudomonadati; Spirochaetota; Spirochaetia; Spirochaetales; Spirochaetaceae. The record is from RNAcentral.